CACAUACGCACGUAGUUUACAACCCGUACAGUAGGUGGCGGCAUGCACCUCUAACAAGAAUAUGGACUGGGGGAGAGAGAGAUAGGGCCAGCAAUUGCACUGGGGAACGUUCCUCCGUGGCUGUUUCCGAAACCAAGUGUAGAUGUCGACAUGAUCUGAAGGGUCUGAAUACUUUCCGAAUGCACUGUAUGUUCAGUAUAUUGUGAGUUUUGACUGUAUGUAUGACAUCUGUCCUGUAUUGUGUUGGAAGACUCAGGGAUUGAACCCCUGCUACUAGGAUUACAUCCUGAGUCUGGAUCACUACACUACCACUAGACCAAACUCAAACUAGUCAUGGAACAGAUAAAGUCAUUAUUUUACAGUUCAACCUGACCAGAGGUCCACAUGAAGGAGAAGCAAGGGACCAGUCCAGUGUGAAGACAACCCCUCAGGUGAUCCUGGAGAGGUGGUCUAUGACAAAGACACAUUUCCCAUCGGACAUCGGCCUCUUAUGAACGUGGUACCUUCAGGCAUUUGGAAAUUGCUCCCAAGGAUGAACCAGACUUGUGGAGGUCUACAUUUUUUUUCUGAGGUCUUGGCUGAUUUAUUUUGAUUUUGCCAUGAUGUCAAGCAAAGAGGCACUGAGUUUGAAGGUAGGCCUUGAAAUACAUCCACAGGUACACCUCCAAUUGACUCAAAUUAUGUCAAUUAGCCUAUCAGAAGCUUCUAAAGCCAUGGCGUCAUUUUCGGGAAUUUUCCAAGCUGUUUAAAGGCACAGUCAACUUAGUCUAUGUAAACUUCUGAC
RNAcentral lists this long non-coding RNA (784 nucleotides) under Salmo salar (Atlantic salmon). Its description in RNAcentral is "lncRNA (ENSSSAG00000082936.1)". The record is from RNAcentral. Lineage: Eukaryota; Metazoa; Chordata; Actinopteri; Salmoniformes; Salmonidae.